This 249-nucleotide long non-coding RNA is filed under the name Panax ginseng (ginseng). RNAcentral describes it as "long non-coding RNA (PGIN_LNC016892)". The record is from RNAcentral. Lineage: Eukaryota; Viridiplantae; Streptophyta; Magnoliopsida; Apiales; Araliaceae.
UGGUUGGGAAAGAGAGGACUUCUGACUCCAAGCCUACCCAAAAAUAAGUUUCAGCUAUUGAUGUAGCUUCUUGUCGAUACUACUAGUCUUGUCGAUACCUACUAGAGAAAUCCCUUCUAUACCACUCAACAGAAGCAAAAAUCCCAUCAAGAUAGAUUGAAUCGACGACCUAUACUUCAACUAAAGGCACAAGGGAAUCAAGGGUUCAAGAGCACAGAACAGAGGAAAUGCACACGGGUCUCCUUGAAG